UACGUAGGUGACCAGCGUUGUCCGGAUUUACUGGGCGUAAAGAGCGCGCAGGCGGUCGUUCAAGUCGAGUGUGAAAGCCCCCGGCUCAACUGGGGAGGGUCAUUCGAUACUGAUCGACUCGAAGGCAGGAGAGGGAAGUGGAAUUCCCGGUGUAGUGGUGAAAUGCGUAGAUAUCGGGAGGAACACCAGUGGCGAAGGCGACUUCCUGGUCCAGCACCGACGUUCAGGCACGAAAGCGUGGGGAGCAAACAGG
This 253-nucleotide ribosomal RNA is filed under the name uncultured bacterium. RNAcentral describes it as "partial 16S ribosomal RNA". It matches the Rfam family "Bacterial small subunit ribosomal RNA", at positions 524 to 776 of the family's 1533-position model. The record is from RNAcentral.